Molecule: ribosomal RNA, 497 nt
Filed under: Tardigrada sp. H102 MOTU011
Lineage: Eukaryota; Metazoa; Tardigrada
Description: SSU rRNA
Rfam family: Eukaryotic small subunit ribosomal RNA
Source: RNAcentral
GCCAUGCAUGUCUAAGUACUUGCUUUAACAAGGCGAAACCGCGAAUGGCUCAUUAAAUCAGUUAUGGUUCACUAGAUCGUUUCAAUCCUACAUGGAUAACUGUGGUAAUUCUAGAGCUAAUACAUGCAAUGAAGCUGUCUGGCCUCGUGUCAGCAGCGCAGUUAUUAGAUUAAAACCAAUAUAGGCCUUCGGGUCUAUUAAACUUGUGAUGAAUCUGAAUAACCGAAGCUAAGCGCACGGUCUCGUACCGGCGCUAGAUCUUUCAAGUGUCUGAUCUAUCAGCUUGAUGUUAGGUUAUGUUCCUAACAAGGCAUUUACGGGUAACGGGGAAUCAGGGUCCGAUUCCGGAGAGGGAGCCUGAGAAAUGGCUACCACAUCCAAGGAAGGCAGCAGGCGCGCAAAUUACCCACUCCCAGUUCGGGGAGGUAGUGACGAAAAAUAACGAUGCGGGAGCAUAAUGCUUCCCGUAAUCGGAAUGAGUACACUUUAAAUCCUUU